RNAcentral lists this ribosomal RNA (492 nucleotides) under uncultured bacterium. RNAcentral's name for it is "partial 16S ribosomal RNA". It matches the Rfam family "Bacterial small subunit ribosomal RNA", at positions 29 to 507 of the family's 1533-position model. The record is from RNAcentral.
AGUGAACGCUGGCGGUAGGCCUAACACAUGCAAGUCGAACGGCAGCACAGUAAGAGCUUGCUCUUACGGGUGGCGAGUGGCGGACGGGUGAGGAAUACAUCGGAAUCUACUUUUUCGUGGGGGAUAACGUAGGGAAACUUACGCUAAUACCGCAUACGACCUACGGGUGAAAGCAGGGGAUCUUCGGACCUUGCGCGAUUGAAUGAGCCGAUGUCGGAUUAGCUAGUUGGCGGGGUAAAGGCCCACCAAGGCGACGAUCCGUAGCUGGUCUGAGAGGAUGAUCAGCCACACUGGAACUGAGACACGGUCCAGACUCCUACGGGAGGCAGCAGUGGGGAAUAUUGGACAAUGGGCGCAAGCCUGAUCCAGCCAUACCGCGUGGGCGAAGAAGGCCUUCGGGUUGUAAAGCCCUCUUGUUGGGAAAGAAAAGCAGCAGGUUAAUACCCCGCUGUUCUGACGGUACCCAAAGAAUAAGCACCGGCUAACUUCGUG